RNAcentral lists this ribosomal RNA (487 nucleotides) under Tricula sp. MG96.04. RNAcentral's name for it is "Tricula MG96.04 partial 16S ribosomal RNA". It matches the Rfam family "Bacterial large subunit ribosomal RNA", at positions 1835 to 2587 of the family's 2925-position model. Lineage: Eukaryota; Metazoa; Mollusca; Gastropoda; Littorinimorpha; Pomatiopsidae. The record is from RNAcentral.
AAAUUAAUGUAUAAAGAGUCGAGCCUGCCCAGUGAUAAAAUUUAAACGGCCGCGGUACUCUGACCGUGCGAAGGUAGCAUAAUCAUUUGCCCUAUAAUUGAGGGCUUGUAUGAAUGGUUUGACAAGAGCAUAACUGUCUCCUUAAAAUUUUAUAAAAUUUGGUUUUUAGGUGAAGAAACCUAAAUGAAAUUGAAAGACAAGAAGACCCUAUCGAGCUUUAGACUAAUUAAUUAGAAAAUAUAAUUAAAAUAAUUAAUUUUAAUUAAAAACUUUGGUUGGGGCGACUGAGGAACAUAUAAAGCUUCCUUAAUCAAAAUUAACUAAUAAGUAAUGAUCCAAAAAUUUUGAUUAAUAAAAUUAGUUACCGUAGGGAUAACAGCAUAAUCUUUUUUGAGAGUUCUUAUCGAAAAAAAGGUUUGUGACCUCGAUGUUGGACUAGGAUAUCCUAAAAGAUGCAGAAGUCUUUAAAGGUUGGUCUGUACGACCA